Molecule: unclassified non-coding RNA, 194 nt
Filed under: Companilactobacillus farciminis
Lineage: Bacteria; Bacillati; Bacillota; Bacilli; Lactobacillales; Lactobacillaceae
Description: Lactobacillus farciminis 16S-23S ribosomal RNA small intergenic spacer
Source: RNAcentral
CUAAGGAUAUGGUGCUUUAGCACCAACGGAAAUACACAACGUUAAAACUUUGUUUAGUUUUGAGAGGUCUACUCUCAAACUCGUACCUUGAAAACUGGAUAUUAAGAAUUAAUGAUUUAAAAGAAACACCGAAAACUGCGCGAUAAAAGUGGAUGUAUUUCCAUAUUUUGUCAAGAUUAAGUUAUAAAGGGCGC